RNAcentral lists this ribosomal RNA (442 nucleotides) under uncultured bacterium. Its description in RNAcentral is "partial 16S ribosomal RNA". It matches the Rfam family "Bacterial small subunit ribosomal RNA", at positions 338 to 795 of the family's 1533-position model. The record is from RNAcentral.
CCUACGGGAGGCAGCAGUAGGGAAUCUUUCACAAUGUGCGAAAGCCUGAUGGAGCAACGCCGCGUGCAGGAUGAAGGCCUUCGGGUUGUAAACUGCUUUUAUAAGCGAGAAAUAUGAUGGUAACUUAUGAAUAAGGAUCGGCUAACUACGUGCCAGCAGCCGCGGUCAUACGUAGGAUCCGAGCAUUAUCCGGAGUGACUGGGUGUAAAGAGUUGCGUAGGUGGCAUAAUAAGUAGCUAGUGAAAUCUGGUGGCUCAACCAUUCAGACUAUUAGCUAAACUGUUAAGCUCGAGACCGUUAGGGGUAACUGGAAUUUCUAGUGUAGGAGUGAAAUCCGUAGAUAUUAGAAGGAACACCAAUAGCGUAGGCAGGUUGCUGGGACGGUUCUGACACUAAGGCACGAAAGCGUAGGGAGCAAACGGGAUUAGAUACCCCAGUAGUC